GCAUGUUUGCAUUAUGUGUUAGAUGACCAAUGCACCCAUCGAGAUAUGAACAAAAAGCUAUUUUGGGAUAUUGUUGAUGGUAAAAGCUUGGGGGAAGUUCAAGAGAUCAUUAGCAAAAGUUCGUCUCCUAGACUCCUAUCAACAGGAACAUUAAGAAACAUUCAUUCAAUAAUGUUAAUGUUGGUGGCUGAGGGGAUGAUUGUGGCAAAGCUGAAAACGAAAAAUAUUGUCAAUGCAGUUAUUAUUUUACUUAGUUCUUUUUAUACUUUUAAUGCUGAGUAUCCUAAAGACGUUAAUGGACAUUGCAAAAAUGUAUUUAUUCUUUUAGAACAUUUGCUUUUAAUUCAAAAUGCAAUUGUAAGGCUCAAUUGCCAACUUUUGUCGAUCAUUUUAUUUCUUCUAUGAAGUAGAAAACUUUUGUAGUGUUAAUUAAUGGCAUGUAGUAGAGAUUUUAAGUAUUCUGUGUUUGCAAAAAAAUGUGCUAGUUAUAA
This is a long non-coding RNA of Xenia sp. Carnegie-2017, 491 nucleotides long. RefSeq lists it as uncharacterized. The record is from RefSeq and is a predicted model, not a curated record. Lineage: Eukaryota; Metazoa; Cnidaria; Anthozoa; Malacalcyonacea; Xeniidae. The transcript is spliced from 2 exons.